This 257-nucleotide ribosomal RNA is filed under the name uncultured organism. RNAcentral's name for it is "partial 16S ribosomal RNA". It matches the Rfam family "Bacterial small subunit ribosomal RNA", at positions 524 to 776 of the family's 1533-position model. The record is from RNAcentral.
UACGGGGGGGGCGAGCGUUAUUCGGAUAGACUGGGCGUAAAGGGUAUGUAGGCGGUUAAAUUAAAUAAUACUGAAUAAAAUCCCAAAGCUCAACUUUGGAAAAAUUUAUUAUUUAUUUUAACUAGAGUAUGGGAGAGGAUAGUAGAAUUUUUAAUGUAGGGAUGAAAUAUGAAGAUAUUAGAAGGAAUACCACGAGCGAAGGCAACUAUCUGGACCAAUACUGACGCUGAGGUACGAAAGUAUGGGGAGCAAACAGG